UGGGGAAUAUUGCGCAAUGGGCGAAAGCCUGACGCAGCAACGCCGCGUGCGGGAUGAAGGCCUUCGGGUUGUAAACCGCUUUCAGCAGGGAAGAAGCGAAAGUGACGGUACCUGCAGAAGAAGCACCGGCUAACUACGUGCCAGCAGCCGCGGUAAUACGUAGGGUGCAAAGCGUUGUCCGGAUUUAUUGGGCGUAAAGAGCUCGUAGGCGGUUAGUCACGUCGGAUGUGAAAACCCAGUGCUUAACACUGGGCCUGCAUUCGAUACGGGCUGACUAGAGUGUUGUAGGGGAGACUGGAACUCCUGGUGUAGCGGUGAAAUGCGCAGAUAUCAGGAAGAACACCGGUGGC
This 350-nucleotide ribosomal RNA is filed under the name uncultured bacterium. RNAcentral's name for it is "bacterial SSU rRNA". It matches the Rfam family "Bacterial small subunit ribosomal RNA", at positions 355 to 716 of the family's 1533-position model. The record is from RNAcentral.